RNAcentral lists this ribosomal RNA (356 nucleotides) under uncultured bacterium. RNAcentral describes it as "bacterial SSU rRNA". It matches the Rfam family "Bacterial small subunit ribosomal RNA", at positions 29 to 409 of the family's 1533-position model. The record is from RNAcentral.
AACGAACGCUGGCGGCAUGCCUAACACAUGCAAGUCGAACGAAGGCUUCGGCCCUUAGUGGCGCACGGGUGCGUAACGCGUGGGAACCUGCCCCCUCGGUUCGGAAUAACAGUUAGAAAUGACUGCUAAUACCGGAUGAUGACCUUCGGUCCAAAGAUUUAUCGCCGAGGGAUGGGGCCCGCGUAGGAUUAGCUAGUUGGUGGGGUAAAGGCCUACCAAGGCGACGAUCCUUAGCUGGUCUGAGAGGAUGAUCAGCCACACUGGGACUGAGACACGGCCCAGACUCCUACGGGAGGCAGCAGUGGGGAAUAUUGGACAAUGGCGAAAGCCUGAUCCAGCAAUGCCGCGUGGAGUGA